AGUGAACGCUGGCGGUAGGCCUAACACAUGCAAGUCGAACGGCAGCACAGUAAGAGCUUGCUCUUACGGGUGGCGAGUGGCGGACGGGUGAGGAAUACAUCGGAAUCUACUUUUUCGUGGGGGAUAACGUAGGGAAACUUACGCUAAUACCGCAUACGACCUACGGGUGAAAGCAGGGGAUCUUCGGACCUUGCGCGAUUGAAUGAGCCGAUGUCGGAUUAGCUAGUUGGCGGGGUAAAGGCCCACCAAGGCGACGAUCCGUAGCUGGUCUGAGAGGAUGAUCCGCCACACUGGAUCUGAGACACGGUCCAGACUCCUACGGUAGGCAGCAGUGGGGAAUCUUGGACAAUGGGGCCAUGCCUGAUCCAGCCAUACCGCGUGGGUGCAGAAGGCCUUCGGGUUGUAGAGCCCUUUUGUUGGGAAAGAAAUGCAGCAGGUUAAUACCCCGCUGUUCUGACGGUACCCAAAGAAUAAGCACCGGCUAACUUCGUG
This 492-nucleotide ribosomal RNA is filed under the name uncultured bacterium. RNAcentral's name for it is "partial 16S ribosomal RNA". It matches the Rfam family "Bacterial small subunit ribosomal RNA", at positions 29 to 507 of the family's 1533-position model. The record is from RNAcentral.